CCUACGGGUGGCAGCAGUGGGGAAUAUUGGGCAAUGGGCGCAAGCCUGACCCAGCAACGCCGCGUGAAGGAAGAGGGCCCUCCGGUUGUUAACUUCUUUUGUUAGGGACGAAGAAAGUGACGGUACCUGACGAAUAAGCCACGGCUAUCAACGUGCCAGAAGCCGCUGUAAUACGUAGGUGGCAAGCGUUAUCCGGAUUUACUGGGUGUAAAGGGCGUGUAGGCUGGACUGCAAGUCAGAUGUAAAAUUCCAGGGCUAAACCCUGAACUGCAUUUGAAACUGUAGUUCUUGAGUAAUGGAGAGGCAGGCGGAAUUCGGUGUGUAGCGGUGAAAUGCGUAGAUAUCCGGAGGAACACCAGUGGCGAAGGCGGCCUGCUGGACAGUAACUGACACUGAGGCGCGAAAGCGUGGGGAGCAAACAGGAUUAGAUACCCUUGUAGUC
RNAcentral lists this ribosomal RNA (442 nucleotides) under uncultured bacterium. Its description in RNAcentral is "partial 16S ribosomal RNA". It matches the Rfam family "Bacterial small subunit ribosomal RNA", at positions 338 to 795 of the family's 1533-position model. The record is from RNAcentral.